RNAcentral lists this transfer RNA (85 nucleotides) under Pleurotus ostreatus (oyster mushroom). Its description in RNAcentral is "tRNA-Val". Lineage: Eukaryota; Fungi; Basidiomycota; Agaricomycetes; Agaricales; Pleurotaceae. The record is from RNAcentral.
GGUUCGAUGGCGUAGUUGGUUAUCGCAUCUGUCUAACAACGUCCUUGUUCACAGAAGGUCCUCAGUUCGAACCUGGGUCGAAUCA